GACUCUCGGCAAUGGAUAUCUCGGCUCUUGUCACAAUGAAGAACGUAGCGAAAUGCGAUACUUAGUGUGAAUUGCAGAAUCUCGUGAAUCAUCGAGUUUUUGAACGAAAUUUGCGCCCAAGGCCUCGGUCGAGGGCACGUCUGUCUGGGCAUCG
Non-coding RNA from Picea glauca (white spruce), 154 nucleotides. Lineage: Eukaryota; Viridiplantae; Streptophyta; Pinopsida; Pinales; Pinaceae. The record is from Rfam.